This 88-nucleotide transfer RNA is filed under the name Thermoprotei archaeon. RNAcentral's name for it is "tRNA-Lys". It matches the Rfam family "tRNA". Rfam says of the family: Transfer RNA (tRNA) molecules are approximately 80 nucleotides in length. Their secondary structure includes four short double-helical elements and three loops (D, anti-codon, and T loops). Lineage: Archaea; Thermoproteati; Thermoproteota; Thermoprotei. The record is from RNAcentral.
GGGCCCGUAGCUUAGCCUGGUAGAGCACCGGGCUCUUAACCCGGGGGUCUCUUUAAGCCCAAAGCGGGUUCAAAUCCCGCCGGGCCCG